AGAGUUUGAUCAUGGCUCAGGGACGAACGCUGGCGGCGUGCUUAACACAUGCAAGUCGAGCGAGGAAAUUCCUUCGGGGAUUUUCUAGCGGCGGACGGGUGAGUAACACGUGGGCAACCUGCCUGAUAGAGGGGGAUAGCCUCCCGAAAGGGAGAUUAAUACCGCAUAAAGUCAAAUGAAGGCAUCUUCAAAUGACCAAAGGAGUAAUCCGCUAUCAGAUGGGCCCGCGGCGCAUUAGCUAGUUGGUGAAGUAACGGCUCACCAAGGCGACGAUGCGUAGCCGACCUGAGAGGGUGAUCGGCCACAUUGGGACUGAGACACGGCCCAGACUCCUACGGGAGGCAGCAGUGGGGAAUAUUGCACAAUGGGGGAAACCCUGAUGCAGCAACGCCGCGUGAGUGAUGAAGGCCUUCGGGUUGUAAAGCUCUGUCUUCAGGGACGAUAAUGACGGUACCUGAGGAGGAAGCCACGGCUAACUACGUGCCAGCAGCCGCGGUAAUACGUAGGUGGCAAGCGUUGUCCGGAUUUACUGGGCGUAAAGGGAGCGUAGGCGGAUACUUAAGUGGGAUGUGAAAUACCUGGGCUUAACUUGGGUGCUGCAUUCCAAACUGGGUGUCUAGAGUGUUGGAGAGGAAGUGGAAU
Molecule: ribosomal RNA, 642 nt
Filed under: uncultured bacterium
Lineage: Bacteria
Description: bacterial SSU rRNA
Rfam family: Bacterial small subunit ribosomal RNA
Source: RNAcentral